Molecule: long non-coding RNA, 661 nt
Organism: Trachemys scripta elegans
Lineage: Eukaryota; Metazoa; Chordata; Testudines; Emydidae
Exons: 3
Source: RefSeq, a predicted model, not a curated record
AGAAGGAGAGCCAGGACUCCUGGGUUCUCCCCAUUUCUCCCGAUUUGCUGUGUGACAUUGCCAAUCCUGGAGAUUUCAUCACAACCCUAGUCCCCUCCCUGCUCGGUUUCCCCUGGUAAAGCAGCUCUUGAUCUUUUUGUACUCAUGUGAUUUCCAACUCUUCUACUUUUAUUUUCGGUUCCAGGAAACCCUGUCUUCGGUCCCCACCCAAGGGAAAGGGAUUUCUCUUCACUGCUCCCAGCCGAGGGAACACAGCCCGCGGUGGGCUCCAGUUCCAAGAUGUCGCAGCCUCUCUGGCUGGCCGCCCUGGUCACCAUCUCCCAGGCUCGGAUGUCUACAGUGCAGCACGUCAGCCAAGCAGCGGUACCGCUGAUCCGCUAUGGCGAUCUCCUUCCCCUGGACCCAACGCAGCCUGGGCUGCAAGGCCAGAAUGGAUUCAACAGCACGUCGCCUGUGCUGGUGAGGUGUGUGGGGCUGGAAACGUUGGGGGUGUGACCCGAGGUGACUGGGGCAGCUCUCACUGAAAACGCCAAGGUCAGGGCAGGCUGUGAAAAGGAGAGCAGAAGAUUCUCCCCAAACUGGAGGUUCACACUGAAGUUAGACUCACCAACCCAUCACAAACUGAGCUUCUCACCCCCCACUUCCCCCGCGCCGGUUAUCA